AAAUAAGUCCCUACCCGUGUUUCAUGCUUAUGUGGCUCAAUUUUUACAUAAUCAUCAUUUCCAAGUGUAUUUUUUCUUUUUUCUUUUAUUCCAAGUGUAUUAAUAAUUUACAAUUUCAGACAAAUUUCCAGCACCAACUCCUUCAUCUUCUUCAUCAGCACAAAUUCUUCAUCUUUUUCCUCUGCACCCAUAAAUCCUUCAUGUCAAAGAAUGUUCAGCUUCUGCAACUACCACAAAUUCUUCAUCUUUUUCUUUUGCACUCUUCUCACAUAUUUUAGUGUUUUACCUCUACAAAACCCCAAUUUCCACUUUUAGGGUUCUAUUCAACUCUUAACAGAUUUGGAACAUAAAUUUCACACUUUUUUCUUCCACCAUGUCAAAGGUUUCAGAAGAAAAAGAUGGAUCUGAAAACCAGAAACUCUGUCGAUCCUUUCCCACACCAAUUGGGGCACAAAGCCGUUCUGGGAUCGGGUAUGACGCACACCGCGCCACCGCCAUGCUUGGGCAGGUGCGACGCUCGCGCCACCGCCAUCCUUUUCCUAUGCACGCGCCACCGCCAUGCUUGGACGGGGGCGACGACCUGGCUGCUGGCAAACUCGACGAGGCACUCCGAUUGAACUGUUUGUGGAUCUAUUUCUUCAUUAUUGUUUCAGAUCCAACAUUUUCAUUCGGUAAAACCCAUGAGAAUUAAACAUAGCGGGUGGUUUUUUUUGCAAUUGCAAUCUCUGGAUUUGCAUCUGAGUGGAAGGGAGAUGAGAUGGGUUUGCUGAGGGUGGGGGUGGGUUUAUGGGUUUGGUGGUUGCUCUUUUGAAGGCACAACAAUCAUUCAGUUUCUGGGUUCUGUUCUGGGUUAGGAAGAGUUCUUUCUGUGCAGGAUGGUUAAAAUGAAGAACAAAGAUCAAGGAUGAUGAAAUACUAGUUAUUCCCACUGUUGCAGACAGUCCAUUAGUGCUUAAUACACCACAACCAAGUAUAUUGCUUCAUAUUCUUUCCCACAGCCAAAUAACAGUAGUAAUUUGGAAUCUUCUGAACUUUUAAAAGAGAAGACAUAUCAUGGACAAUCCUAGAAGUAGAAUGUGGAUGGGCUAUGAUAGAGUUAGUAAAGAAUAUUUAGAUGGAGUGGAAUCAUUUUUAGACCAUGCAUUUCGGGAGAGCAAUGGAGAAACAAUUCCAUGUCCUUGUAAGAAAUGUGUGCUACACUAUGUAGUUAAUUGAGCAAUGGCUUAUGAACACCUAGUGGUUAAUGGUAUUAUACCAUCAUAUGACACUUGGUUUUGUCAUGGGGAGUCAAUUAAUGUGCUAAAUCGCAAUGAGGAAACUAAUUGUAGAGAAGAAGCUUUUAGAGGUGAUGAUAUGGUAGGAUUGAUACAUGAUGCUUUUGAAGGCUUUAAUCAAUCCAUGGGUAAUAACAUUAGUGAUGGAGGUGAUAUUGAGUCAAACUUGGAUGAAAUUCUUACUCAUACAUCAAGCAAUCAAUCUCAUCUAGAGGUGGAGAAGUUUGAACAGUUAAUGAGAGAUGCAAAUGAAGAACUGUACAGUGGUUGCAAGAAAUUCAGCAAACUUUCUUUUGUUUUACAUCUUUACCAUAUAAAAUGUGUACCUUUUCAUUGCUUUAUUCAUUUUAACUAGUAUGCUAGUACUAUAAGCAUUUUCUUUGUGGCCUCAUGAUAAGUGUGACUAUUGACUACAUUUAUUGCCUCUGGAAUUGUUUUUCAGGACUUGUCUAAUCCUUUCUUUACCAAGGUAAUCCAAGGUCUGUAAUUAGACUGUGCAUGUUCAUAUGAUUUUUAAUUAGUCAAGCUGAUAGUACUCAACUGUUCUGUAAGCAGCAAUUCAUUUUUAUUAGCAAUAUCACUUGUAGCAAGCCUGAUGUUAUUUUUCUUUAAUAAAUUAUACUGUUUCAAAGGAAUAUAAAAUUGAUUCACGGGGUUUUGGUAAGACAGAAGACAUAGCUAUUGUCAUGUUUAUUUUUGAUUCAGUGGAACUUAUUCAUGCAUUGGUAAUGAGUUGAGGUAACUCAUGGCUAUAAUGCAAUAGCUGGCAACAAGGUUAUAAUGCAAUCUCUGAGCUGAUCCAUGUCCAAGUAUUGAGGGGCAUGUUGGUCUGGCAAGUUGACAUGUUCUAUUUGCUGCCAUGCACAGGGGCCUCAUGAACACACUGUUUAGUUACUGAUGUGAAGGUAGCGAGUUUUGUUUUUCUAUUAAGUAGAGAUUUGACAUUAGUGGGGUGGGGAUAGUGGCUUUCCCCGUUUGAUAUUUUAGGAAACUUCUGAAACAAAUUUGUUGUGUUGGGUCUGAUGUACAAAAAUGACUGCUGCCAUUUACUGGUAUGAUCCACCAGGACCUUUUCUAAAAAAAACAAGGUUAUUUAUUUGCUAUGGGGAAGACUCUAAUUCUCUUUAAAUGAGAGUUGUCCGUACAUAAACUCCCCCUGCUAAUCCUAAUUUUUAAGGGUGUUUUGAUUGAGUCUUCAAUUGCUGAUUUGGUUGUGUUGUUACCUGACUAAUAACUCAUUGUUUCUGGUUCUUGGCUUGUGCAGGUGCUGAUUUUUGUGAUGUGUGUUGAUUUGCUUUUAGACUUGUUUGAUGUUGCUGGAGUGGAAUCUCACCAGAUGAGGACGGGUCAUGAUCCUGAUUUCUAUGAUGUGUGCUGCUUUGUUUUGCUUAAUUUUUUCCUCAGGACUUAUUGUUUCCCUUUGUAUUCUCCUUGUUUUUCUUGUCUGUUUCCUUUUUUUACCUAUCUCUGAGUAGGUUGUUCUCAGACUAGUCUUUUUAAAUACAUUAUUCUCUUUUUGGGAAAAAAAAACUCAUGAAGAUGUAUCACUAAGAUGUACUUGAUAUUUUAGUAGGGAUUUAAGACCUACAAUGGUUUAUUUGUAAAAAAAUUCAAUUAAAAUUUUAUUUUCAUAGUAAUAGAAAA
Long non-coding RNA from Lotus japonicus, 2918 nucleotides. RefSeq lists it as uncharacterized. NCBI's taxonomy places the organism in Eukaryota, Viridiplantae, Streptophyta, Magnoliopsida, Fabales, Fabaceae. The record is from RefSeq and is a predicted model, not a curated record. The transcript has 3 exons.